Molecule: ribosomal RNA, 623 nt
Filed under: uncultured eukaryote
Lineage: Eukaryota
Description: bacterial SSU rRNA
Rfam family: Eukaryotic small subunit ribosomal RNA
Source: RNAcentral
CUGGUUGAUCCUGCCAGUUGUCAUAUGCUUAUUUCAAGGACUAAGCCAUGCAAAUGUCAGAGUACUUGUGCUUCGGCACUAGGGGGUCUGUGUACGGCUCAUUAAACGGUUAAUAGUCUACCCAACGAAGAGGACAUGCGUGUUCUCCUAAGGGAUACCCGUGCUAACUGCACAGCUAAUACCUGGAAGAAGAAUCUGCGGCCACCCAAACACCUUGGUGAGUGCCUUUCGGGGCGCAAGCCAAGGUGUGGCCGGGAUGCUCUUGGCCGAAACAAAGACCCACGCCCUUACGGGCAGUUGGAAUUGUUGACGCAGGCCAAUGUAGCGGAAGCGCCCUUCGGGGUGCGUUGUUGGACGAAUUCACCACCUAUCAGGUAGAAGGUAGUGUAGUGGACUACCUUGCCUUUAACGGGUAACGGAGGAUUGGGGUUCGAUUCCGGAGAGGGUGCCUGAGAAAUGGCAACCAUGACUACGGUCAGCAGCAGGCGCGCAAAUUGCCCAAUGCCAACACCUGGCGAGGCAGCGACGAAAAAUAGUAUUCCUGUGGGCGAUUUUCGCCCCAGGACUUGCAAUGGAUUGUAUCUACAAACACUGCUGAGUAUCUAUUGGAGGGCAAGUCUGGU